RNAcentral lists this ribosomal RNA (722 nucleotides) under uncultured eukaryote. Its description in RNAcentral is "SSU rRNA". It matches the Rfam family "Eukaryotic small subunit ribosomal RNA", at positions 672 to 1426 of the family's 1831-position model. The record is from RNAcentral.
GGUAUCGCCGUUAGUCAUGUGCAAAUAUGGAUAGCUGUUUUAGCCGUCUUUAUUGACUGGUUUAUAAGAGUUAUCAGAUAUCACUUUGAUUAAAUUAGAGUGCCUAAAGCAAGUGUGUUACUUGGAUAUAAAUGCAUGGAAUGAUGGAAUAUGUUGUUAUUCUAUUUGUUGGUUUUUGAAUGAUAAAAUGAUUGAAAGGAACUGUUGGGGGCAUUCGUAUUGUUGUGAGAGAGGUGAAAUUCUUAGACCACAGCAAGACGAACUACUGCGAAAGCAUUUGCCAAGAAUGUUUUCAUUGAUCAAGAACGAAAGUUAGAGGUUCGAAGGCGAUCAGAUACCGCCCUAGUUCUAACCAUAAACUAUGCCAACUAGCAAUUUGCUUUGUAUUUUUUAUGACUAAGUGAGAGGCCACGGGAAACCUAAGUAGGGUUAUGGGGGAAGUAUGGUUGCAAAGCUGAAACUUAAAGGAAUUGACGGAAGGGCACCACCAGGAGUGGAGCCUGCGGCUUAAUUUGACUCAACACGGGAAAACUUACCUGGUCCUGACACUAGAAGGAUUGACAGAUUGAUAGCUCUUUCUUGAUUUGGUGGAUGGUGGUGCAUGGCCGUUCUUAGUUGGUGGAGUGAUUUGUCUGGUUAAUUCCGAUAACGAACGAGACUCUAGCCUAUUAAAUAAUACACGGAAUUUUAUCUUCCGCGGUAUUUCUUAGUGGGAUCAAGCG